UCUCCUGUAGUUCCUCGUGUCCGCUUGAGAGGAGUAAACUGCUCUUUCAGAAAUAGCUGAGAACACAUAAAAAAUGCUUUCCUGUGGGCAACAGAUAAUCCCGUUUUGAAGGACAUUAAAUCUGAUGAAUUUGCAUGUAGCACACCGGUAUGAGCAAACAUGACGUAUUCUCAGGGCGGUGCCACGUGCUAUUGGCCAAUGAAUUGGCAUGAUGGUAUAAAGGCUUCAAACAUUCGGCACACCAAAGGUGUUCCCAUAGUGCUGACGCUAUCGCAGUAAACCUAAGAAAAGGAACCUUUUAUUAUAACUGAGAUUUUCUUACUCUGCUGUAAAACAGCCUUGUCCACUAAGCUGGUUUACGUUGGUCAGGUGGUCUGGUUUUAUGGUUUUAAAGAAGUUUUAGCCACAUUUUCUGCUGUCCAACCAACUCAAACCAGCAAACCAAGUCAAGAUGGUUCUCAGCAGGUUGUUUAUAGUCUAAAUGGUAACAAAUAUAAUUGGACACUAGUAACUCAUCUACUAUAACUUAAUGAAAACACUUGUGAUUUAUUAUUGAAUAAAUUCUUGUGGUUUGAAUGUGAAAGUUCAGUGAUCUUGUGGCAUGAUGCCGCAUUUGCUCCCUGCAGAAGAGUUGUAGAGAUGUAUCUGCGAGUCUCCAUUUUUCUUUUCAUUCUUCUCACUGGAGGAUUCGGUCUAGUCUGUUAUGAUUGCCAGGGCCCAAAAGGAAUUACUUGUGAAAAAAAUACGACAUGUGAUGAUGAACAAAGCAUGUGUAUAACUAAAAGAAUAAUAGAAUAUAGCAGCUCAGAAUAUGGUGACAAAGUGGAAGAGACCAUAGAGAGAAGUUGUGCCACAACAUAUGACUGUGAAAUCUGGUACAUUACAACAGGCAAUUCUUUCCAGUGCUGCGACACCGACUUGUGCAAUGAACAAGAUGACAUAGAUUUCUCAUACUCUUAUUAUGAUAAUGUUGCUUAUUAUGAUCAUGAUGAGAAGAAAUGUUUCACUUGUGAUGAGGAGGACUGCUCAGACAUACAGAGUUGUGUGGAGGAUGAAGACUACUGCUUUACUGCAAAGGGUGAGAAAAGCAAUAGAAGAAAAUUAAAAUAAAUGUUUUGACAUUACAAAUUUUCCCUUGUCAAUGCACCUUUGUACUUUUGUAUUACCAUAAAAGCAUGAAGUAGAAAUCAGAGGUAUUAUUUCUUAUUUCUUUUUAUUCAUUUAUAACAAAGAGAAUUCCCUAAUGACAGAGCCAGUGUAGACUGUUUUUGCCGUGUCUCCUCUGCUUGUUUUUAUUUAUUUCAUCUGUUUUCUUUCUUUUCUCUAGGAAAUCAACCAAACACUGUAAAAGGAUGUGCCUCCAAAUACAUCUGUGAUUGUCCGCUAAAAUGGCUAGGACCUGGCUAUAUCACAUGUUGUGAGGGUAACCUGUUUAACGGCACUCAGAGCGUCACUCAGAGCUUCAUGUUCCUCUGCUAUUCUCUGCUCUCCUUCAUCCUGCUGCACUGAAUCCAGCAGCAAAGACCCUCCACAUCAGCCAGAAUGUAAUGAAUGACUGUGUGUCAAUCAAAAUAAAGCAUUCAUUUUCUAAGAUCAGUUGGUUAUCUUUUAGUCCAUGAUGUAAGAACGUCAAAAAUACAUUGGGGUCUAAACCACACAUUGAAAAUGCAGAAUAAUAAUAAAAAAAUAAAAAUAGACUUUUGGACCAUGCAUAUUGAAAUUGUCAUAUGUCAUUUGCAUAUAUCCAGACAUGAUAUUCAGUUAUUGGAGUGCAGUAAAUAUUUGAUUAUGUAAUUAUAUAAAAAAGUUAUUUUUUCAAAUGUUUGAAAUACAACAUUAAAAUAAUCCUAACACAUUUAGCAGUUGCCAAGUUGCCCUUGUGCAGACACUUACAAGAAACCAAGUUUGUUUUUCCAACACAGUGAAACCCACAAAACCACUGACAAACAUUAACAUUAUGAUAACUUAACUUAGGCACACUGCAGUAUAUACUGAGAUAAUGAUGAUUAUUAACCCUAAUCAAAGCAUUAAACCAAAACUUCUCAUAAUUUUUUUUGCAUUUUUCCUUUUUUAGUAAAAGUUGGUUUAGUAUGUUUAUUAGGUCAUUUGAGUUAGGGAGGCAAUGUCAUGUCUUCAUAAUGUAGCAAAAAAUGAAUACGCCUACAUUAAGAAACAUUUUUGGUGGCAUAAGUAGGUCAAAGCAGUGCAGAUUUCACACAUAUGCAUCUGCAUUGGCCUAAACACACAGGUGCUUUUAUGUAGUUGGACUUUCCACUGACUUCUUCUGAGCCUAAAUUUAGUCAUCCUCUUCUCCUAAAGCUUUAACGUUACAACCACCAAACUCGGGUCAGACCUUCAGACUGGUCUGACGUUGGUUGUUAUAUCUUUUCUACGGUUUCUAAAAACAAGACAUUCAAAAUCACCCAAAAUCCCUUAGACUUUCAUUGAGAGGGUGACAACUUUUAUGCAAUGAGACUUAUAGUGUUUUAAGCUGUCUAUUACUAUAGAAAAACUUAAUAACUCCCUACUGAAAAAAAAGAUAAAACCAGCCUAAAUUGUUGGCUGCUUUGACUGUUCUUAGCUGGUUAAGUUGAGAGAUCUGCCUAAAGACCAAGCUAGCUUAAACCAGCUGAGGCUAGCUUAGGCUUGUUUUAGCUGGUCUUAUAUGUUUUUUUCUUUGCUAAAUCAGCAGGUUUUUUUUUUUUUUUUUUGUUAAAUCAGCAGGGUUUUAGCUGGUUUUCAGCUGGUUUUUUAGUAGUUGUUCUUGCUACAGCUGGUUUUAGCUAUUUUUGCCAAUUGAAUUUGUUUUAGCUGGGUUUUUAGCCAAGGAACCGCAUAGCAACACCUUAGCAAAAACCUCUAGUACCCUAGCAACUGCAUAGCAACACUUUAAAACAUGCUAGCAAUAUGUUAUUUUAUUCUACACACAUGCUAGUUUCACGUUAAAUAAUGUUAGCAAUGUGCUAAUUCAUGUUAAAUCAUGCUAACAACAUCCUACUUUAUGUAACAACAUGCUAAAUAAUUUAGCAUCAUGUGAAAUCAUGUUAAAAUGUUAAUUCAUGCUAAUUUAUGCCAACAACAAGCUAAAUCAUUGUAGCAUCAUGCAAAUUCAUGUUCAUUCAUUUUAGUAACAUGCUAAUCGUUAAAAACAUGAUAAUUAAUUUUAGACACAAUAAUCAUGUUAGCAAAAUUAUGCUAAUAAAAUGCUAAAAACAUAAUAUUAGCAUGUUUCCAAUGUGUUAAAGAUGCCAUAUGAUGCUGCUAAAAAGAACCAAAUUUUGGUUUAUUUGGUGUAAUGAAAUGUAUUUAUGUGGUUUAAGGUGAAAAAAAUAUUUGGGUUAAUCUGUUCUGGAACUGUGUUGAAAAUACAACUUAACCACCUAUUUCUAGUUGUGUCCUGUUUUGCAAGGCCGGACAAAAUAGUUUCACUUUCACAACGAGGGAGUUGGACCCUGGGCUGGACUGUGCUUCGUCCACAGUGAACUCCACAGCGUGAAGUAGAUGUAAUUCCUCAGCUGUAUUUUCCUGAACCAAGAGCUUAACACUCCAAAGAGAAAGAAAAUUUUAAAUUGCAUCAUAUGAUCGCUUCAAAUCAUGUUAUCAACGUGUUAAAUCAUGUUUGCAAUGUCCUAAAUCAUACUAGCAACAUACUAAUCAUGCUAUCAAUAUGAUAGCAACAUAGUACUCAUGCUAAAAAAAAGCUAAAUCAUAUUAGCAGUGUGGUAAAAAAUGCUGGCACUGUGUUAAAUCAUGUUAACAACACCUUAAAUGAUGCUAACCGCACAUUAGCAAAGUGCUAAAUCUUGACAGCAACAUGUUAAAUCAUGUUAACAACGUGCUAAUCAUGUUAACAACAUGCUCAAUCAUGCUAGCAACAUGUUAAAUCAUGCUAGCAAUGUGCAAAAUCAUAAUAACAGCAUGCCAUCAAUGUGCAAAGUCCUCUAUCUAUCUAUCUAUCUAUCUAUCUAUCUAUCUAUCUAUCUAUCUAUCUAUCUAUCUAUCUAUCUAUCUAUCUAUCUAUCUAUCUAUCUAUCUAUCUAUCUAUAUGUCUGUCUGUC
RNAcentral lists this long non-coding RNA (4058 nucleotides) under Carassius auratus (goldfish). Its description in RNAcentral is "lncRNA (ENSCARG00000043408.1)". The record is from RNAcentral. Lineage: Eukaryota; Metazoa; Chordata; Actinopteri; Cypriniformes; Cyprinidae.